RNAcentral lists this non-coding RNA (29 nucleotides) under Bombyx mori (domestic silkworm). Lineage: Eukaryota; Metazoa; Arthropoda; Insecta; Lepidoptera; Bombycidae. The record is from RNAcentral.
UCCAAGUACACGCAGAUUCUCGAGUUGGA